RNAcentral lists this microRNA (34 nucleotides) under Haemonchus contortus (barber pole worm). RNAcentral's name for it is "hco-miR-5971". Lineage: Eukaryota; Metazoa; Nematoda; Chromadorea; Rhabditida; Trichostrongylidae. The record is from miRBase by way of RNAcentral.
GUAGAUGAUUUCAAAAAUCACGCGUCCUGACCCG